AGCAAUUUGGCGCAGUGGAAGCGCGGUAUGUCCACCAUUAUCUGCAUAUGAAAAUCCUUACUAACAGCCGCAGCCGGGCUCAUAACCCGGAGGUCGCACGAUCGAAACGUGCAAUUGCUA
Molecule: non-coding RNA, 120 nt
Organism: Fusarium odoratissimum NRRL 54006
Lineage: Eukaryota; Fungi; Ascomycota; Sordariomycetes; Hypocreales; Nectriaceae
Source: the annotation of a RefSeq genome assembly